UGGGGAAUUUUGCGCAAUGGGGGAAACCCUGACGCAGCAACGCCGCGUGAGUGAUGAAGGCCUUCGGGUCGUAAAGCUCUGUCCGAGGGGAAGAAAUGCAGGGGUGCUAAUAUCAUCUUUGCUUGACGGUACCCUCAAAGGAAGCACCGGCUAACUCCGUGCCAGCAGCCGCGGUAAUACGGAGGGUGCGAGCGUUGUUCGGAAUUAUUGUGCGUAAAGCGCGUGUAGGCGGUUUGGUAAGUCUGAUGUGAAAGCCCCGGGCUCAACCUGGGAAGUGCAUUGGAGACUGUCAGACUUGAAUACGGGAGAGGGUAGUGGAAUUCCUCGUGUAGGAGUGAAAUCCGUGGAUAUUAGGAGGAACACCGGUGGCGAAGGCGGCUACCUGGACCGAUAUUGACGCUGAGACGCGAAAGCGUGGGGAGCAAACAG
RNAcentral lists this ribosomal RNA (429 nucleotides) under uncultured bacterium. RNAcentral describes it as "bacterial SSU rRNA". It matches the Rfam family "Bacterial small subunit ribosomal RNA", at positions 355 to 775 of the family's 1533-position model. The record is from RNAcentral.